Molecule: long non-coding RNA, 972 nt
Filed under: Anser brachyrhynchus (Pink-footed goose)
Lineage: Eukaryota; Metazoa; Chordata; Aves; Anseriformes; Anatidae
Description: lncRNA (ENSABRG00000010719.1)
Source: RNAcentral
CAGAGUUCCUGGCUAUCUUUCAGUCUAAGUGCACGGCUAUUUUAAUUGAUCUCAGUCUAAAAAAAAAAUAAAUAAAAAUACAGCUCUCUGUAUUUUUAGAGUCACAAUGGCAAGCAUCGUGAUGUAGAAGCAUAUGCUCCUCUUGUUUCAGAAGAAUUAUCUCUCUUUCUUGCCAAAACUUCUUGCAAGUUUCUCAGGUUAUCAGAAUGGUAGCAUGAAAAGUUUGUAGAAGAAAUUGUAAGAUGCGAAUGCAAUGCAGUCAACUUCAUUGUUUGGCUUCAGCAACAUAAAGGCUCUCCAGCAUACUUCUAGCAUCUCUCUUUUGGAUUAAGUGUAGUCCCAGAUGUCCUGUCAAAAUAGCUAGAUGGUGAUAAUUAUCGUGCUUGUUAAUUACCACCAUUUUCUGCUCCAUAAAUUAUUGGUCUUCCACUUUCCCUUUUUAAGCUUCAUUCACUGAAACACAACCUAAAAUUUCUUACCUCACGCCUGCUGAGAACUGAGAGCAAAUGUGGAGUCAGCUCAGCUGAGGAGUGGUUAUUCGUCCCACUGCAGAAACUCCAGCAAACGAUAAUGGUUUUGUCCUUUCUUCAGCUGAAACCUGGGAGGGAGGGAAAUUUUGCAAAAGCGAUCCUAUCCAGGAUGGGGCUUGCUGUUGCUUGACCAGAGGAGCAAAACAUUGUGUGUGCAGAGGAAAGAGGGAACAGAAGAGCAAACAGUUUGUAUGAAAGGGUGCCUUCUUCCACCCCAAGGUGAUGGGCUAUGGAUCAGGACAACUAGCAUGUCUGGACGGACUUGUUCUGCUCAUCUCAUCUUUGAGAUCAUUUCAUCAUGAACUGAUGAACUGCUUGAAAGAACCUGUGAUGCCUGCUAACAAGACUCAAAGCAUGGGAAGGAAUAAAAAGCAGUAAUGAGCCCUGAUAUAAUUUCACCCACAUAGAUCUAUGAAAGAAAUAAAAGCUCAGCUUCAUUACA